UCUUCCGUAGUAUAGUGGUUAGUGUGUGAGCUUGUCAUCUUGAAGAAGAUUCUCUUGAGACCCAGGUUCAAUUCUCGGCGGGAGAG
Lasiosphaeria ovina is the source of this 86-nucleotide non-coding RNA. Lineage: Eukaryota; Fungi; Ascomycota; Sordariomycetes; Sordariales; Lasiosphaeriaceae. The record is from the annotation of a GenBank genome assembly.